RNAcentral lists this ribosomal RNA (119 nucleotides) under Sphaeramia orbicularis (orbiculate cardinalfish). Lineage: Eukaryota; Metazoa; Chordata; Actinopteri; Kurtiformes; Apogonidae. The record is from RNAcentral.
GCUUACGGCCAUACCACCCUGAACACACCUGAUCUCAUCUGAUCUCGGAAGCAAAGCAGGGCCAGGUCUGGUCAGUACUUGAAUGGAAGACUGCCUGGGAACACCGGGUGCUGUAAGCU